UAUUCUCAACCCCCUCCAGCUUUUGUAGUUGGGUUUGGGUGGCUUGGAUGUGGAGGUUUGCAGGCUUUUUCAAGGUCAGCUCCUCUAAAAUGCAUUAGCAGAACCGUUUGCAAUCUGUUAACCAGUGUGAUAAUUAUCUACACUAGUGGAUUGCUCAUUGCUUUGUUCAGCUUCUAACAGUUUCCUACUGAGGAGACAACCUUUAUGAAC
Molecule: unclassified non-coding RNA, 210 nt
Filed under: uncultured Agaricaceae
Lineage: Eukaryota; Fungi; Basidiomycota; Agaricomycetes; Agaricales; Agaricaceae
Description: sequence contains ITS2
Source: RNAcentral